Molecule: ribosomal RNA, 957 nt
Filed under: uncultured bacterium
Lineage: Bacteria
Description: bacterial SSU rRNA
Rfam family: Bacterial small subunit ribosomal RNA
Source: RNAcentral
UGCAAGUCGAACGCCCCGCAAGGGGAGUGGCAGACGGGUGAGUAACGCGUGGGAACGUACCUUUCGCUUCGGAAUAGUCCCGGGAAACUGGGUUUAAUACCGAAUACGCCGUAUUGGGAAAGAUUUAUCGGCGAAAGAUCGGCCCGCGUUAGAUUAGCUAGUUGGCGGUGUAAUGGACCACCAAGGCUACGAUCUAUAGCUGGUCUGAGAGGAUGAUCCGCCACACUGGGACUGAGACACGGCCCAGACUCCUACGGGAGGCAGCAGUGGGGAAUAUUGGACAAUGGGCGAAAGCCUGAUCCAGCCAUGCCGCGUGUGUGAAGAAGGCCUUUUGGUUGUAAAGCACUUUAAGCGAGGAGGAGGCUACUUGGAUUAAUACUCUAGGAUAGUGGACGUUACUCGCAGAAUAAGCGCCGGCUAACUCUGUGCCAGCAGCCGCGGUAAUACAGAGGGUGCGAGCGUUAAUCGGAUUUACUGGGCGUAAAGCGUGCGUAGGCGGCUUUUUAAGUCGGAUGUGAAAUCCCUGAGCUUAACUUAGGAAUUGCAUUCGAUACUGGGAAGCUAGAGUAUGGGAGAGGAUGGUAGAAUUCCAGGUGUAGCGGUGAAAUGCGUAGAGAUCUGGAGGAAUACCGAUGGCGAAGGCAGCCAUCUGGCCUAAUACUGACGCUGAGGUACGAAAGCAUGGGGAGCAAACAGGAUUAGAUACCCUGGUAGUCCAUGCCGUAAACGAUGUCUACUAGCCGUUGGGGCCUUUGAGGCUUUAGUGGCGCAGCUAACGCGAUAAGUAGACCGCCUGGGGAGUACGGUCGCAAGACUAAAACUCAAAUGAAUUGACGGGGGCCCGCACAAGCGGUGGAGCAUGUGGUUUAAUUCGAUGCAACGCGAAGAACCUUACCUGGUCUUGACAUAGUAAGAACUUUCCAGAGAUGGAUUGGUGCCUUCGGGAACUUACAUACA